GAUGAACGCUGGCGGCGUGCCUAAUACAUGCAAGUCGAGCGAACAGACGAGAGUGCUUGCACUCUCUGACGUUAGCGGCGGACGGGUGAGUAACACGUGGGUAACCUACCUAUAAGACUGGGAUAACUUCGGGAAACCGGAGCUAAUACCGGAUAAUAUUUAGCUUCGCAUGAAGCAAUAGUGAAAGACGGUUCUGCUGUCACUUAUAGAUGGACCCGCGGUGUAUUAGCUAGUUGGUGAGGUAACGGCUCACCAAGGCAACGAUACAUAGCCGACCUGAGAGGGUGAUCGGCCACACUGGGACUGAGACACGGCCCAGACUCCUACGGGAGGCAGCAGUAGGGAAUCUUCCGCAAUGGACGAAAGUCUGACGGAGCAAUGCCGCGUGAGUGAAGAAGGUUUUCGGAUCGUAAAACUCUGUUGUAAGGGAAGAACGAGUACGUUAGUAACUGAACGUACCUUGACGGUACCUUACCAGAAAGCCACGGCUAACUACGUG
Molecule: ribosomal RNA, 499 nt
Filed under: uncultured bacterium
Lineage: Bacteria
Description: partial 16S ribosomal RNA
Rfam family: Bacterial small subunit ribosomal RNA
Source: RNAcentral